This 71-nucleotide transfer RNA is filed under the name Aciculitermes sp. T3.10f. RNAcentral describes it as "tRNA-Ser". Lineage: Eukaryota; Metazoa; Arthropoda; Insecta; Blattodea; Termitidae. The record is from RNAcentral.
AGUUAAAAAGCUACAGAUAAGCCUAAUGUCUUGAAAACAUUAUGAAAGAAGUUUAAUCCUUCUAUUAACUU